Apodemus sylvaticus (European woodmouse) is the source of this 81-nucleotide small nucleolar RNA. RefSeq annotates it as small nucleolar RNA SNORD35. The record is from RefSeq and is a predicted model, not a curated record. NCBI's taxonomy places the organism in Eukaryota, Metazoa, Chordata, Mammalia, Rodentia, Muridae. The transcript has a single exon.
GGCAGAUGAUGGGUUUUUUCUCACGAUGGUCUUCGGAUGCCACACUGCCGAUAAUGCCAAAGGCUAAGCUGAUGCCAGGAG